Molecule: long non-coding RNA, 688 nt
Organism: Cyprinus carpio carpio
Lineage: Eukaryota; Metazoa; Chordata; Actinopteri; Cypriniformes; Cyprinidae
Source: Ensembl
UCAUCUAAAGGUUAUCUGAUUCUAAAGAGCUGUAAUUGCACUGGAAAGCUUAUUAGCUGCUAUAGAGCUCAGAAAAAGGACAGUCUUGUGUUGCUUCAUGUGCCGUUCUGCUCAGGCACAAUGCAAGCCAGUGACACGAGCAGACUUUUAGCUUUAGCUCUUAGCUUCACACGCUUUAGCCUGACUACUGAUAAAGUUAUGGAGUCCGGCAUUAAUGAACAGCUAGUUAGACUUAAAUUAACAGAAGAGAUUCUCAUCGUGGAGUCAGUUAAACUUAAACAGAUGAACUAACUGGAUAAAUAAGUCACAAUGCAAUCGACACAAACGUUAUUUGAAACUCCAUUUACUUUCAAAGAAGAAAGAAACUCAGGUUUUGCGUGUUGAGGGUGAGUAAAUGAUGAACUGCCCCUUUAAGGGAACAUUAACAAAACAUACUUAUUUUGUCAGCUUGGCAGAAGUUGAAAGGACAAAUAUGCCAACCAACCUUACAAUAAAAAUCAGCCCUAUUGUAUUUCACUGGAAUAUAUUUCAAAAAUUUUCAACGACAUUGGUAAGUACCUAUGAAACACUAACAGGCUUUACUGUUCAUGCCAAACAAAGUGUUUUCCAGCAAUCAGCAGCUAUACUGUACAGAGCACAGCAGCAUUAUUACGGUAAGAGACGCUAUAGCGUGAUUUCACAUGGAAAU